GCCUACGGGAGGCAGCAGUAAGGAAUAUUGCACAAUGGGCGCAAGCCUGAUGCAGCAACGCCGCGUGCCCGAGGACGGCCUUCGGGUUGUAAAGGGCUUUUCUGGCUGACGAGGAAGGACGGUAGGCCAGGAAUAAGCGUCGGCUAACUACGUGCCAGCAGCCGCGGUAAU
RNAcentral lists this ribosomal RNA (171 nucleotides) under uncultured soil bacterium. Its description in RNAcentral is "partial 16S ribosomal RNA". It matches the Rfam family "Bacterial small subunit ribosomal RNA", at positions 337 to 524 of the family's 1533-position model. The record is from RNAcentral.